ACUACAGCCUCAGUGCAUGGCGGUGGGCGCUUCCAGUAACUCAGGGGUGGGACUUUUUUCUUGCUCAGGGGAUGAGGCCGAGCCCACAGGCUUAGAAAGAAGGAACUUGAGUCCGGGCACCUGUCAUCCCAGCGCUUAGGGAGGCCGAGGCGGGUGGAUCACCUGAGGUCAGGAGUUCGAGACCAGCCUGGCCAAUAUGGCGAAACCCCCGUCUCUACUAAAAAUACAAAAAUUAGCCGAGCAUGGUGGCAUGCACUUCCAGCUACUUGGAAGGCUGAGGCGGGAGAAUGGCUUGAACCUGGGAGGCGAGGGUUGCAGUGAGCUGAGAUCGCACCACUGCACUCCAGCCUGGGUGACAGAGCGAGACUUCGUCUCAAAAAAAAAGAAGAAGAAAGAAGGAAGCUGAGGUUCAGACAGGCUAAGUCCCUACUGCAGGCUGCGGAAUCUAAAAAGGUAGGUGCCAGGGUUUGCAACCCACACUUUUAUUUUGGUCUCAGGUAGCUGAUGUCAUUCCAGUCUAUGGCAAAGAAGGUGGCAAAUCCAUUAACAUAGAUGAAGAAUUUCAUUUUACUUUUUAGUUUUAUUUAUUUAUUUAUUUUUAUUAUGUAUCAUGCUUUUAAUACAAACUUUAAAAAAUCUGGAACAAUAGAAACUGUACAGAUUUGAUCAAUCUUUUUGUUUUGUUUUUAAACUAAAAUCUCUAAACACACCAAUGUCCUAUUCCAAAAUAUUGCACAACAUUCUGAAUACAAAACCCUUGAUUGUAUUCCUCCUUCACUGAAGAAAAAACUUCAUGACCCUGCUCCCCGGGCUCCUCUCCAGGCUUGCGUCAAUGCCCCCUUCCCAUCCCUAGGGAGAAAACUAGAGAAUCUAUAACUCACUGCAUUGAGAAAAAGACAUCAUUCUGGACUAACAGUUUCCAUUCUUCAGAAGAUAAUCCACCUUUUGAUUUGUUCCUGGGAAACAGGGAUAGAUAGAGGAUGGGGAAAGGGGAGAAAAGUUCAUGACCCUGCUCCCUUGGCUCCUGUCCAUGCUUGCCUGGCCUCCUGGGGUUGGAGGAACAAGCUCUCUCCUGGCAGAGGCAGGAGAGAGUUUUAUUUUUUAGAAACAGUUUCGCUUUGUUGCACAGGCUGGAGUGCAGUGGUACAAUCACGGCUCACUGCAUCCUCGACCUCCCCAACUCUAGUGAUCCUCCCAUCUUAGCCUCCUGAGUAGCUGAGAUUGCAGGCAUGUGCCACCACACUGGCUAACUUUUUUUUAACUUUUAUUUUUUGUAGAGAUGAGGUGUCGCUAUGUUGCCCUGGCUAGUCUUGAACUCCAAUCCUUCCACCUCGGCCUUAAAUAAUUUUAAUAGUUGACAUGCACAUGGCAUUUACUAUUGGCCGGCAUUAUUUUAAGGUGCCUGCUCUGAAGGAAUUCUGUUAGCCUUCCUAAAUUAUUCCCUUGGCCAUUGGAAACAUAGGCAUGAGAUCAUUUUUAGAUAAUUGGAAAAGCAGAGAAAUCUGUGAAGAUAGAAUGGGAAAAAAAAUGCAUUUCACUAAACCAACAUGCCAUUGAUUGUGAGAUUCCACAUUACUUUAUGUAGCCCCACGGCUGCCCUUAAACCAUGACACAUGCUUUAUUUACAGUUCAUAUUUUACUUAUUCGUAGACCUCAAGAGGCAUUCUGUGCUUCCCUCUUCCUUCUGGAAGCUUCAUGAGAAGGGACAUUUUCCUCAAAGGAUGGACAACAGAAACAACUCAAAUAUUCAUUUCCUUUAAAUAUGGUUUUUAAGACAAUUUUCUUUAGAAAGCCACAUUUACCUGUUGGGGGUUGAUUUAUGCUCACCCCCCUCCCAAAUAUAUGUUGGAAUGCUAACCCCCUAUUCCUCAGAAUGUGACUUUAUUUGGAGACAGGUUCUUUACAGAGGUAAUAAAGUUAAAAUGAGUAAAUAGGGUGGGCCAUAACCCAAAAUGACAGCUGUCCUUAUAAAAAGGGUGCAUUUGCACGCAGAGACACGCAUAGAGAGAACAUGAUAUGUAGAGGCACAGGGAGAAGGCCGCCAUCUGCAAACCAGGGAGAGAGGCCUGGAGCAAAUUCUUCUUCAUGGCUCUUAGAAGGAACCAUCCCUGCCUACACCCUGAUUUCAGAUUUCCAGCCUCCAGAAGCGUGAGGCGAUAAAUGUCUGUUGCUGCAGCCACAGGUUGGCGGUGCUUUGCUGCAGUAGCCUUAGCACCUGAUAGAUGGUCUCUUUACAUGUCAAGCACAUUGCAGCGCACAUUUGACACACAGGGAGAUGGAAGCUCCUGGAGGAUAAGUGUUUUGUCUGUGAUUUUGAAGGUUGCAAGUGGAGGAACUGGGAUUCGAACCCCUCUCUGUGUGAUGCCUAUGCCUCCUCUGUGUUAACAUUUAUUUUUACUUAUUUUUAUUUUUUAGUUUUUGUAGAGAUGAGGGUCUCACUAUAUUGCCCAGGCUGGUCUUGAACUCCUGGGCCCAAACGAUCCUCCUGCCUUGGCCUCCUGGUCUUGGGAUUACA
Molecule: long non-coding RNA, 2515 nt
Filed under: Homo sapiens (human)
Lineage: Eukaryota; Metazoa; Chordata; Mammalia; Primates; Hominidae
Description: non-protein coding lnc-SMIM17-5:3
Source: RNAcentral